This 433-nucleotide ribosomal RNA is filed under the name uncultured bacterium. Its description in RNAcentral is "partial 16S ribosomal RNA". It matches the Rfam family "Bacterial small subunit ribosomal RNA", at positions 29 to 507 of the family's 1533-position model. The record is from RNAcentral.
AACGAACGCUGGCGGCAUGCCUAACACAUGCAAGUCGAACGAGACCUUCGGGUCUAAUGGCGCACGGGUGCGUAACGCGUGGGAACCUGCCCUUAGGUUCGGAAUAACUCCCCGAAAGGGGUGCUAAUACCGGAUAAUGUCUUCGGACCAAAGAUUUAUCGCCUUUGGAUGGGCCCGCGUUGGAUUAGCUAGUUGGUAGGGUAAAAGCCUACCAAGGCGACGAUCCAUAGAUGGUCUGAGAGGAUGAUCAGCCACACUGGGACUGAGACACGGCCCAGACUCCUACGGGAGGCAGCAGUGGGGAAUAUUGGACAAUGGGCGAAAGCAUGAUCCAGCAAUGCCGCGUGAGUGAUGAAGGCCUUAGGGUUGUAAAGCUCUUUUAACCGGGAUGAUAAUGACAGUACCGGGAGAAUAAGCUCCGGCUAACUACGUG